GAUAAAAAUUUUUUAUUAUUUUUUAAAUUGUUUUAUAUUUUAAAAAAAGAAAUUAUUAUUUUAUUAAUUUUUAAGAAAAAAUUAUUUUUAAUUAUAGAUUAUAGUAUUGUGAAAGAAAGUUUUUAUUAAUAAAAAAGAAAAAUUAAAAUUUUGUACCUUGUGCAUCAGGGUUGAUUAAAAAAUAAUUAAAUAUUUAAUAUUCUCGAAUUUAAAAGAGCUAAUUAAUUAUAUAUUUUAUUGUGAAAUAAAUAUUUAAAAUUUUUAAUUAGAAAUGAAACGUUAUUCGUUUUUAAAUUUAUCUAGUUUUUAAAUAAAUAAAUUUAAUUUAGUUAUUUUAAUUUAAAAUAUUAAUUUUUUAAUUUUUUAUUUAAAAUAAGUAAUUUUUUUAGGGAUUAGCUUAAAAAAAAAAUUUUAUAAUAAAUUAAAAUUAAAAUAAAUUAUAGGAUUAUAAUUUUCUAUAAAUAAUAAAAUGUUAUAAUUAAUUAUUUGUUUAAUAUUAUUUUUAUUUUAUUUAAAUUUUUUAUUUAAAUAUAAAUUUUAAUUUUAAAAAUUUAGUAAUGAUGAUUAAAUUAGUAUAAAUUAAUGUAAAAUUAAUUUUAAAUUAAAGGUUAAUUUAAGGAACUCGGCAAAUUUAUUUUUCACCUGUUUAUUAAAAACAUGGCCUUUUGAUUAUAAUUUAAGGUCUAAUCUGCCCACUGAAGUUUUAAAUGGCCGCGGUAUUUUGACCGUGCAAAGGUAGCAUAAUAAUUAGUUUCUUAAUUAGAAGCUGGAAUGAAAGAUUGAAUGAGAAAAUAACUGUCUCAAAUUAAAUUUUUUAGAAUUUUAUUUUUAAGUUAAAAAGCUUAAAUGAAUUUAAAAGACGAGAAGACCCUAUAGAGUUUUAUUUAAUUUUUUUUUAUAAAAAUAUGAAUUUUAAUAUUUUUUAAAAUUAAAUUAAAUUUUGUUGGGGAGAUAGAAAAAUUAAAUAAACUUUUUUUAUAUAAAA
RNAcentral lists this ribosomal RNA (985 nucleotides) under Stigmatium laevium. RNAcentral describes it as "partial 16S ribosomal RNA". The record is from RNAcentral. Lineage: Eukaryota; Metazoa; Arthropoda; Insecta; Coleoptera; Cleridae.